RNAcentral lists this ribosomal RNA (217 nucleotides) under Allogromiina sp. 26. Its description in RNAcentral is "partial 18S ribosomal RNA". It matches the Rfam family "Eukaryotic small subunit ribosomal RNA", at positions 1207 to 1428 of the family's 1831-position model. Lineage: Eukaryota; Foraminifera; Allogromiidae. The record is from RNAcentral.
GGGAAAACUUACCGGGUCCGGACACACUGAGGAUUGACAGGCGAAGUAAAUAUGCUAGUCCUUUCAUGAUUGUGUGAUAGGUGGUGCAUGGCCGUUCUUAGUUCGUGGAGUGAUCUGUCUGCUUAAUUGCGUUUCAGAUAAAUUUGGAUAAAUGUAGUGACAAUGUGCUUAGUGUAAUAGCUAACACGUUUAACUCUAUAUCCAUUGAAAGCAACGA